Molecule: unclassified non-coding RNA, 230 nt
Filed under: plant metagenome
Description: partial contains small subunit ribosomal RNA, internal transcribed spacer 1, and 5.8S ribosomal RNA
Source: RNAcentral
UCUCCGUAGGUGAACCUGCGGAGGGAUCAUUACCGAGCUCAUGCCCUUACGGGUAGAUCUCCCACCCUGUGUUACUAUUACCUUUGUUGCUUUGGCGGGCCGCCAGGCUCCGGUCAGGCUAUCGGCUUCGGCUGGUAAGCGCCCGCCAGAGGACCCUAUAUCCUGAUUAUUAGUGUCGUCUGAGUACUAUAUAAUAGUUAAAACUUUCAACAACGGAUCUCUUGGUUCUG